GACGAACGCUGGCGGCGUGCCUAAUACAUGCAAGUCGAACGAGAGCGACCGGUGCUUGCACUGGUCAAUCUAGUGGCGAACGGGUGAGUAACACGUGGGUAACCUGCCCAUCAGAGGGGGAUAACAUUCGGAAACGGAUGCUAAAACCGCAUAGGUCUUCGAACCGCAUGGUUUGAAGAGGAAAAGAGGCGCAAGCUUCUGCUGAUGGAUGGACCCGCGGUGCAUUAGCUAGUUGGUGAGGUAACAGCUCACCAAGGCCGUGAUGCAUAGCCGACCUGAGAGGGUGAUCGGCCACAUUGGGACUGAGACACGGCCCAAACUCCUACGGGAGGCAGCAGUAGGGAAUCUUCCGCAAUGGACGCAAGUCUGACGGAGCAACGCCGCGUGAGUGAAGAAGGUUUUCGGAUCGUAAAACUCUGUUGUUAGAGAAGAACAAGUGCUAGAGUAACUGUUAGCGCCUUGACGGUAUCUAACCAGAAAGCCACGGCUAACUACGUGCCAGCAGCCGCGGUAAUACGUAGGUGGCAAGCGUUGUCCGGAUUUAUUGGGCGUAAAGCGAGCGCAGGCGGUUCCUUAAGUCUGAUGUGAGAGCCCCCGGCUCAACCGGGGAGGGUCAUUGGAAACUGGGGAACUUGAGUGCAGAAGAGGAGAGUGGAAUUCCAUGUGUAGCGGUGAAAUGCGUAGAUAUAUGGAGGAACACCAGUGGCGAAGGCGACUCUCUGGUCUGUAACUGACGCUGAGGCUCGAAAGCGUGGGUAGCAAACAGG
This 767-nucleotide ribosomal RNA is filed under the name uncultured Granulicatella sp. RNAcentral's name for it is "bacterial SSU rRNA". It matches the Rfam family "Bacterial small subunit ribosomal RNA", at positions 28 to 776 of the family's 1533-position model. The record is from RNAcentral. Lineage: Bacteria; Bacillati; Bacillota; Bacilli; Lactobacillales; Carnobacteriaceae.